AGACGGGCCUCGGACUGUCGC
Molecule: ribosomal RNA, 21 nt
Filed under: Scleroderma verrucosum
Lineage: Eukaryota; Fungi; Basidiomycota; Agaricomycetes; Boletales; Sclerodermataceae
Description: partial 18S ribosomal RNA
Source: RNAcentral